AACGAACGCUGGCGGCAGGCUUAACACAUGCAAGUCGAACGCGUGUAGCAAUACACGAGUGGCGCACGGGUGAGUAACGCGUGGAUAUCUGCCUUUUGGUUCGGAAUAACCCCGGGAAACUGGGGCUAAUACCGGAUGGUUCCUACGGGAUAAAGAUUUAUCGCCAAAAGAUGAGUCCGCGUACGAUUAGCUAGUUGGUGAGGUAAUGGCUCACCAAGGCGACGAUCGUUAGCUGGUCUGAGAGGACGAUCAGCCACACUGGGACUGAGACACGGCCCAGACUCCUACGGGAGGCAGCAGUGGGGAAUAUUGGACAAUGGGGGCAACCCUGAUCCAGCCAUGCCGCGUGAGUGAUGAAGGCCUUCGGGUUGUAAAGCUCUUUUGGCGGGGACGAUGAUGACGGACCCGCAGAAUAAGC
RNAcentral lists this ribosomal RNA (418 nucleotides) under alpha proteobacterium Ellin7141. RNAcentral describes it as "bacterial SSU rRNA". It matches the Rfam family "Bacterial small subunit ribosomal RNA", at positions 29 to 491 of the family's 1533-position model. The record is from RNAcentral. Lineage: Bacteria; Pseudomonadati; Pseudomonadota; Alphaproteobacteria.